Molecule: ribosomal RNA, 388 nt
Filed under: Pseudogobius olorum (Swan River goby)
Lineage: Eukaryota; Metazoa; Chordata; Actinopteri; Gobiiformes; Gobiidae
Also listed under: 1 other name
Description: partial 12S ribosomal RNA
Rfam family: Bacterial small subunit ribosomal RNA
Source: RNAcentral
GCCUAGCCCUAAACACAAGUGACGCCUUACAUCACUUGCUUGCCAGGGAACUACGAGCCCCAGCUUAAAACCCAAAGGACUUGGCGGUGCUUUAGACCCCCCUAGAGGAGCCUGUUCUAGAACCGAUAACCCCCGUUCAACCUCACCCUCUCUUGUUUUUCCCGCCUAUAUACCGCCGUCGUCAGCUUACCCUGUGAAGGUUUAAUAGUAAGCAUAAUUGGUUUAACCUAAAACGCCAGGUCGAGGUGUAGCGUACGAGAGGGGAAGAAAUGGGCUACAUUCACUGACCCAGUGAAUACGAACAAUGCCUUGAAACAGCCAUUUGAAGGAGGAUUUAGCAGUAAGGAGGGGAAUAGAGUGCCCCCCUGAAACCGGCCCUGAAGCGCGC